Molecule: signal recognition particle RNA, 253 nt
Filed under: chicken gut metagenome
Description: Bacterial large signal recognition particle RNA
Rfam family: Bacterial large signal recognition particle RNA
About the family: The signal recognition particle (SRP) is a universally conserved ribonucleoprotein involved in the co-translational targeting of proteins to membranes. Archaeal SRP consists of a 7S RNA and homologues of the eukaryotic SRP19 and SRP54 proteins. In most bacteria, the SRP consists of a 4.5S RNA and the Ffh protein (a homologue of the eukaryotic SRP54 protein).
Source: RNAcentral
CGGGGAGAUAGCGGUGCCCUGUACCUGCAAUCCGCUACAGCAGGGGUGAUGCCGAGCCGAGGGUUUUGCUCUGCGGGGUCUGCCCUUUAUAAGUGGUGUUGAAGCCUGGGUCUUACGCAACAGAACUUUGCGAACCGUGUCAGGGCAGGAAUGCAGCAGCACUAAACAAAGCCCUCUGUGUGCCGUAAGGCAGCCUGGGCCGAGCUAACUGUAGAGGUUACGCCCGUGGGGGAAAUUCGAAGUAAGGCGCGCG